Eucalyptus grandis is the source of this 1131-nucleotide long non-coding RNA. RefSeq lists it as uncharacterized. The record is from RefSeq and is a predicted model, not a curated record. The transcript has 3 exons. NCBI's taxonomy places the organism in Eukaryota, Viridiplantae, Streptophyta, Magnoliopsida, Myrtales, Myrtaceae.
AGGCUAGUCUUGCCAUGGCCUAGCCAGCCAUUGGCAAAGGUGGCCUUGCCCAUGGCUAUCGCCCGUGGUCAGCGAAGAAGAUGAUGAAGAUGGAUGACCUUGAGAUGGGUCACGGUUGCGCUGUCCCUGCAAACACGGUCGGCGAAGAAGAUGACGAAGGCUCGUGCCGAUUACGCACCCUCCCAUUUCUUCUUCUUCUUUAGCCCUUAGCUAAUAGACGACGAUGGUUCAGCUUCUACUCUGACACAGUUAGAUUAGGGUUAAGUUAGGACAAUCCUGCUGUUCUUAUUCUUUUGAUCGUAAGAUACAUUUUCUGUUCAUUCUGAAGUCCGGUGGACCGGUUAUUACGCACCAACACAUUUUUGGACUUGUCCCAGUAGAGAAUUGCGUUUUUUGAGAAGAGAUUUGUUUCACGAAUGAGAAAGGCCUCAAACUGAAGAUCAAAUUACAUGAACUUCUGCAAGUUUUCUUGAGAAAACUAUCUGAUUCUUCUCCUUUUUUCCAUCUUUGGUAGAGACUUGAGCGUCAACAAAUUGACUGGUCAAGUUCCUGACAAGAUGGGAGCUGCUCUAGAUUACAUGUAAUUACAAAUUUUCUUGACCACUCCUAAUGUCUCAGCAAAUUUGUAGUUGAUUUUCCUUCCUCGUUGAUAUCAUAUACUCCUCGUAUAGUUGAAUUCCAAACAAUUCUUUGGACAAGUACAUAACUUUUAUUUGUGAAUGUAGGUUCCUGACAAACAACUCCCUUAGUGGAGCAGUACCCACUUGGGUAACAAGCAGCAAACGAUAUUUGUUAGUCUCCUAUGAAAAUUUCCAGUUUUUCGUUCUUACUUUUCCAUACUUUUGACAUAGAUUGCAGGAUUUAACUCAUAAUUCCUAGUAUGAGACUCAUGAGUUCCCAUAUGAUAUAUCACUCUCCAAUGUUGGACUAUCAUUAUUUACCAGAUGAAUAUGCGCACUAACUCGGUCAAGGUAUGUAACUGCAGCGACUUAUCUUACAACAAUUUCACCGAUUCUUCUCCAGUCAAUUGUCAGGCAUCACCAGUUAAUUUGGUUUCUAGCUAUACGUCUCACCAAAAUAAAUCGCUUUGGUGCUUGGAGAAGGAUCUACCUUGCAGCGGGAAGGCACAAU